AUUGAACGCUGGCGGCAGGCCUAACACAUGCGAGUCGAACGGUAACAGGAAGAAGCUUGCUUCUUUGCUGACGAGUGGCGGACGGGUGAGUAAUGUCUGGGAAACUGCCUGAUGGAGGGGGAUAACUACUGGAAACGGUAGCUAAUACCGCAUAACGUCGCAAGACCAAAGAGGGGGACCUUCGGGCCUCUUGCCAUCGGAUGUGCCCAGAUGGGAUUAGCUAGUAGGUGGGGUAACGGCUCACCUAGGCGACGAUCCCUAGCUGGUCUGAGAGGAUGACCAGCCACACUGGAACUGAGACACGGUCCAGACUCCUACGUGAGGCAGCAGUGGGGAAUAUUGCACAAUGGGCGCAAGCCUGAUGCAGCCAUGCCGCGUGUAUGAAGAAGGCCUUCGGGUUGUAAAGUACUUUCAGCGGGGAGGAAGGGAGUAAAGUUAAUACCUUUGCUCAUUGACGUUACCCGCAGAAGAAGCACCGGCUAACUCCGUG
This 490-nucleotide ribosomal RNA is filed under the name uncultured bacterium. RNAcentral describes it as "partial 16S ribosomal RNA". It matches the Rfam family "Bacterial small subunit ribosomal RNA", at positions 30 to 507 of the family's 1533-position model. The record is from RNAcentral.